AAAUUCAGAUAGGAAGUUUUAAAGUAAUUUUCAGUGCUAAGAGAAAUGACAUCCAAGAGGGACACAGACAAACAUUUGUCCAGAUGAGCUGCGGUAACAGGAUUGUGUUUGGACAGGAGCUUCUCUCCGCAGGGAACAAGCUUUAGGAACAAGCUGAAGAAAUUGAGAAAUAUAUGCCGGCGGUUAUUCUGAAAACGUCUGUUUUCCACUGGAAUGAAGCU
RNAcentral lists this long non-coding RNA (221 nucleotides) under Sinocyclocheilus anshuiensis. Its description in RNAcentral is "lncRNA (ENSSANG00000037496.1)". The record is from RNAcentral. Lineage: Eukaryota; Metazoa; Chordata; Actinopteri; Cypriniformes; Cyprinidae.